Sus scrofa (pig) is the source of this 1935-nucleotide long non-coding RNA. RefSeq lists it as uncharacterized. The record is from RefSeq and is a predicted model, not a curated record. Lineage: Eukaryota; Metazoa; Chordata; Mammalia; Artiodactyla; Suidae.
GGCUGACGCCUCGCUGCCUCCAGGACUGUCGUUUCUCGUCACCCGGCAUGAGCCGCCCCGGGAAGCGAAGACGGAGGCGUGGACUGAGGUGCUUUGCCGUGACAUGUGUAACAAAGCAGACUCUGCCCAGGAGCAGAUGUGUUUGUGGCCACUUGCCGUGUCCUUGCAGGGAAUGCCAAAGACUGUACUGUUGUCACCACAGCAUCCAAAGGACACGGAUUACAAAGCAGUACCUAAGAUGACUUAUAAGCCACUUUGGGAGCUGCCAUGCUCUGGCGCGGACCCCACGGGUGGGUGCUGCUGUCACGCUCCGCACAGUGCCCUGACCCACGUGUGCCUGCCCGAGUCACAUCGAGCAGUGGCCUGCAGCUGAGGGUCCGGCUGAGCGGAGGUGGCGCUGGAUGCGCCGUGUCCGUGUCCCGUCCCGGGAGUUCACAGUUUGCCUUGGGAGGUGAUCCGACUGGCACAGUCUGGAGGCCUGGAGGGGCUGAGGCCAGGAGCAGCAUGAAGAGUCCGGGGAGCCAGGCCGCACCCAGUGGACAGGGCUCAGCUUGGGGACUGGAGGGCAGCUGCGACCUGGGCACUCUGGGUAGAGGGAGGGGCUCACUCCGAAACUGACGGCACUGACGGCCGGAACCCAGCCGGAACGCAGACUGGGACUCGAACCCACGGUUUUAAAUGAGAAUCCCUCACCCUGUGUCUGGACUCCCUGAGGUUCGGGUUCUUCAUGUCUCUGCGCAGAAGGAAUUCAGCGAGAGACAAAGUGAUGGGCACGAGGCAGAUUUAUUAGGAUAGGACGUUUGUGAGAGGCGCCAGCGGGCAGGCGAGGAGGCUCUGCCCCGGAGGGUCCGGUGGGCCGCAGUUUUAUCCUCCAGGGGAGUGGGGGUCGGAAAGGGCCGCCUCUUCCUUUCUGGGAGUCGCAGCGCCUCCUUAGCAUCGGGUCAGGUGUGUAUUCAGAUCAGCUGAGGGGCGGUCCUCAGACUCCUGCCCUGGGUCUGAAUCUGAAUGCAGCCCUCCUCCCAGCCCCCACCCAGUGACCCGAGGCAGUUCUCCUACCUCCACCUGCGAAGCAAGCCUGCCUUGUGCUGAUGGCUUUCCUGAACCACCAGUGGGCUCCUGGCAGGUUUCCCUCGGUAUCUGUGACCCCCCUUUGAGGCGGCUACAACCACCUGUGCCUGCUCCAUCCCUAUCAACCCUGCCUUCUCUCCCCUCCGUCCCCUGGACCGGGUGCAGCUGGAGGGGGGGCGUGCUGUGACCCCUGGGGGUGAGCCACCCUCCCCAGAAGGUCUCAGGGAGCACAGCCCAGCUGCUGCCGCGUGCCCGGCAAGGUAUGUAGGGAGCAGGGGUCCCGUCUUGCCCUCACCGGUGCCUAGCGGUGGCGGUGGCAGAGGCCCCGGUGCUCAAACCAAAGGGGAGGCCUGCCUCAGAGAUGAGCGAGGGUCACAGCCUGGGGACAGCCACUCUGUCAGUGCCUCCCUCGUCACUUGCCCUGUGGCUCUUGGCAAAAAAUAUCUUUAAAACCAAAAAAGAUGUUCGCUGUGCGUCCCUGAUCAAGAUUCACAAGAAAGAGGAAAAGUGGAAAAAAAGUGACAUCCUGUUUUUCAGCCAGGUUUGGGGGGAGCUUGGGGGGGGGGCGUCUGAGACAGGGCCCCAAGGGAUAAAGUGGGUGACAGUGGCAGCACAGAGAAGACAGAGGCUGCCUGGGUAUGAGUCUGGUCCAGCUGCCUCAUAGGGAAGGGGUCUGGAAUUCCUGGGGAGGCAGAAGGAAGCCGUGAGGGUCUCAGCGGGUCUUGGGGGGGGCACUGCCAUCCAGCUCAGGAGCACGGGUCCUGGAGGUGGAGGAGGUCGGGCUGCGGGAUGGGGAGAGGGCAGGAGGGACGACGGAGGGGGUUUCUCUUCGGCGCGAACAUCUGCCAGGCUAAGGGGGGAAGGUGG